UGAAAUCAAAGUUUUUAGCUUUGUUCUUCAACUCGUCUUGAAGAAGCUUUUUUGCCUUUUGUAGCCAAUCUUCUAGUUUGUCCUGGAGAAGUAACAAACAAGCAAUGAAACAUAUUGAGCUUCAGCUGCAUUGAGAAAGCACAUUAAGUACCAAGAUAUUAUUAUUUGUUCAAUAAGAUAUCCAUAAUGUUUCUAUUUGCCUGUUUUAAGUCAUCGUUUUACAUCUAUAAGGUAAAAUGUGCAGAAAUUAAUUUCAACCAUGCAUUUUUGGUUCCUAAAGAAUGUAGGCUAGAAACACUCCACAUUUAGAAAGACUUUAAGCGGAUCAGGGGCCUGAAUUGCAGAUCAAUAGUUCGACUACUAGAAUGUUACAGAGCGCCUUGCUUUUGUUAAAAAUUUAAAAUAAUAAUAGUAAUAAUAAUAAAUAAAUAAUUUAAUAAAUCUGUUGCUUUCUUGCUUGGCAUACAAACUAAAGACCAGAAGAGUGUUUCAUUCUAACCUCGAUAUUCACAAGUAAAUCCUAAGGGCCCAACUUCUACUCUAAGACAGCAAAGUAAAUUUUUAAAUCCCAUGCUUACCCAACUUCUGCAAAUGAAAAACUUUGGAAAAUACUUUUUUUGCAAUCUACAGAACAUUGAUUAUGUGUUUAAUUGACAGUCUUUAACCGGCACCUUAGAUCAAAAUUGCACGUGAUAUAAGUACUUGAUGACAAGAUACUUAAGUUGCUAAGUAUUUCAGAAAUCCUCAAACUCUAUAGCUAAAGAGUUGCAGAAGAGUUGCAGAAGAGGAGAAAUUAGAUAACAAUGGUGUAAUGAACAAUGAGCACAUUUACAAUAUUUUUUUCUACAUGGGUCAAACCAAUGACUUUAAGCAUCUGAGACAUGAAGGCAACUUAUCCAAAUACAAGUAAAAUUUCAACAGCUAUAGCAACAAAAGGUAACCUUUCCUAGCACAAUUCUACAAAACAGCCUACGUGCCUGGCUUGACCCAACAUUGUCCAUUAUUAAGAGUAGGAUUAUGCUAUAAUCGUGCCUCCAUAAUCGUGCCUCCUUCCUAUGUAGGAUGACUGCAAUAAAUGACAAGGAACAUCCAGAGGCUAACUUAAAUGAAAGAAAAGGAAUUUUACAAUUACGGUGAAUGAUCCACACCUUCACCGUUUUCCAGUUACUCUCUUCAUCCUCUCCAUCCAGCAAAAUCGUAUCGGCACUACACUGGCGUCGUCUCAAUACCAAUUCACCUACCGUAACAAGACACAGCCAGAAGCCAGAAGGGAACGAAGAACCAGGAAUAUCCGUCUCUUCCCCUUUCCUCAAAUUCUCAGCUAAAACAGAACCCAUCCCACUUUAACUAAGACAAGUCACAUUAGCACCUACAGUUCCCCCACUAUUUCUCGGAGCAGCAGCAUCAUCUUGAAAGCACCCCAACAGCAAAAAAAGGCAAACGAAUCGGAAGCAUUCAGCCACCCACAAAGCAAAAAUCAAACACCACCCACCACCGCCAUUUCUCUCAAAUACAAAAGAAAAAGAACAUCAAGGACGCAAGCGCUCCCGCAACGAGCGAACUCAAAACGGCACACGAAGACCUAAUCCCGAACGACAAGGCAUGGCGCGGCACACUCAGGACGCCAUUGCACAGAACGACCAAGUAAUCGAUGAUAUUGACGACGACAACGACCAUACCUUCGAGAGGGAGAGGCGGCGAAGGCCUCGACCAAUGCGGCGGGAAUCGAGUGGAGCGGCGGUGGCGGCAGGUGAGGGAGUCCCACCGAGCAAAGAGCGUAGAAGCGGUCGUGGGAGAGAGUGAUGGAAGGGUGGGAAGAAAAACGAGAACUAGGGUUUUCUUGGUUUU
RNAcentral lists this long non-coding RNA (1848 nucleotides) under Eucalyptus grandis. RNAcentral describes it as "long non-coding RNA (EGRA_LNC002592)". Lineage: Eukaryota; Viridiplantae; Streptophyta; Magnoliopsida; Myrtales; Myrtaceae. The record is from RNAcentral.